GCGGAGCGGGGGCGGGCCUAUGCUAGUCACGUGGGCGCGGGGUCGGGGCCGGGGCGGUGCGGGGCGUCUCCGAGCGGCGAGCCGAGGGAGGGCGCAACAGCUGCUCCCUGAACACUUUCUGACCUAACAGUUCCCCAGCGCCGGACGCGCCGCGCCCCGGCGGCUCUAGGGACCCCCCGCGCCUGCACUUAGCCCCGCGCCCAAGACGUGUAUGAAAUUUGGUGCCGUGACUCGGAUCGGGGGACCUCCCUUGGGAGAUCAAUCCCGUGUCCUCCUGCUCUUUGCUCCGUGAGAAAGAUCCACCUAUGACCUCAGGUCCUCAGACCGACCAGCCCAGGAAACAUCUCACCAAUUUCAAAUCCGCCCACACACAGGUGAAUUUAAAGGAGCAGCCCUGGUGUCACCUAUCAGUAAAAGAAUGUUAGAACGACUUUCCAAGUUUGAAGUUGGAGAUGCUGAAAAUGUUGCUUCAUAUGAGUAAGUCAGUUUGAAGUUCGAAAGGAGGGAGCCAUUGAUGGAUCUCUUUAGUUAAACAGGGCUUCCGCUGAGGCAAGAAGGAAAAAGGGAAACUAUGGAAAGAUAUCAAAAUGUAUGGGUGGGAGGGUACACUGUAUUUACUCCAGUUGAAUUCUUAGACAAGUAUUAUUUUGAAAAAAAUUUCCAUCCAUUCAGAAAUAAAUGUUCUUCUAGCUUGAAAAUGUAAAAAGUAUUCUUAGAGGAAAUUAAUUCCAUUAAAAGUUUUUUUAAAAAAACAGGAAUGCAGAAUGCUACUUAACUCAUCAAUAGUGAACGUUUCUCAUUUUUACUGGAUAUGGUGUGAUUCCCAAUUUUGUAGAUUUUGCCUAUGAGCAAAUAGUAUUGAUAGGAAAAGCCAACAUAUUUUGCUGACUAAAGACCUCUUUAUGGUCAUUGGGAUUUUAUUCUUAUUUGUUUCUAAUCUCACUAGAGUACUUCCUGUUGCACUGACCUGAAGGCAUUUUAUCGUGUACUCACUGUAAUGAAACAAUACAUUCUUAAACUGGCUUGUGUCUGAACUGCAGACAUAUUCAGGAGAUUUUUCUUCUGCUGCUUUUUUGCCCAGUUGUAUAACCAUUCACCAGCUUGUGUCAAUGCUGGAGAGGAAGUACUGCCAUAGAGGAAGUUAACUCACCAUGGUUGUAAGCUGUUGGUGUCUAAACAAAGAUUGGAAACAAAGAGGGCAAAUACAAAUAGUUCUUCAAAUUACUCUGAAUUUGCCAUUGAAUUAAACUGUGUCUGCAGAUUAGCUGUACAUUUUCUGUAAUGGAGCUGCCCAGGGCUGAAACAAAAUUAGAUUAAGCAAGGCAAGCAUUUCCUUCUUUCCCGACUCCAAACAAAAUAAAGCAGGUUUUCAUUUUAUUUUAUUUUUAAAUUACAAAGUCUCAUUACGUAGAUAUAGGAGGAAUUUGCAGUAGUCCCUGUGAGAAAUGCUGGUGUUUCAUACCAGGGGGAUGAUACUGGAUUUAUAGUAAAAGCUGGAAUCAGUGCUUGGCUUUGGCCUCAUAUAUUCAUUCACCUGAUACUCAGCAAGUUACUAACCCUCUUUAACUUUCAGAUUAUUCAAAUGUAAACUGGCUAUAAUGCAAUCUAUGUACUGGAUAUUGUAUUGUAAAAAAUUAGUAAUAAAACGAAAAUAACAUGCAAAAAUACUUUGAAAACUGUAGAUCUGUAAAUAGGUUUUAUUCUAAAAACUGAAAAUAACGUAGGAGUUCAUUAAAGGAAAAUCAGAAAAUACAAUCAACAAAUCUACCCACAUAUAGUCAUUCUUAAACUUUGAUGCAUGCACUUCUAAGUUCUUCAAGCAUGUACUUUUUUUGUUUACAGAUAUGAGACCAUACUUAUUCUUUUGUAAAUAACCUUAUUAAUGACAUCAUGGUUUUUUUUGUUAAUAUAUAUUCAUGUGCACUUACAACAUUUGUAACAGUUGUGUGAUAUUUCAUGGUGUAGAUGUGCUAUAAUUCAUUUAAUAGUCAGAUAUUGCUGAACAAUUAAGUUUUUUACAAGUUUUUAACUGUUACAAAAAUGAAUAUAUUUGAGGCUAAAUCUCUGUAUAUUGUUGGUUAUUUGCUUGUUAUAAAUUCUCAGAAGUGGAAAUUCUGUAUCAAAGGGAAUGAUUGUGACGCUAUUGAUAUUGAUAUGUGCUUUAACAUCAAGAUGCAAAGUGUACAUUUCUCCCCUCCCACACUUAACACUAGCCAUCAUUGAUUUCUCUGAUAUUAGUAAAUAUAUUUGUUCUAAUGCACGUUCUUUGACACACCUUCAUUUAUCCUUUUCUGUCUAUGGACUGAAAAGUUAAAUCUAUUGAUCCUUUUUCUAUUUUAUGUAAUAUAAGCAAUUUCUCCCAGGUUGUCUUGCUUUUCACUAUAUAAAAGCAUUUAAUCCUCAUGUAAUCAAAUGUAUCUGUACUUUUCUUUGUGAUUUUGCCUUUAAUGUUAUUGUCAGAAAGUCCUUCUUACCCCAAGAUUUUAAACAUAUUCACCAAAAUUUCUGUUUUGAAUUUAUUUUCUUCAUUUAAAUAAAAUAUCUGCCCUGAAUUUA
This is a long non-coding RNA of Gorilla gorilla gorilla (western lowland gorilla), 2556 nucleotides long. RefSeq lists it as uncharacterized. Lineage: Eukaryota; Metazoa; Chordata; Mammalia; Primates; Hominidae. The record is from RefSeq and is a predicted model, not a curated record. The transcript has 4 exons.